GUGCACAUUUCAUUGACUUGCUCCCUGUACUGUGCAGAGUGAAGUUAUUUCUUAUGUGCUAAAUGAAAAUGAAGGCUAAUUAGCAGUGUAACUAAAUACAGGUAGUUACUGCUGCCAGUCCCCUUCAGACAUGC
This is a small nucleolar RNA of Xenopus tropicalis (tropical clawed frog), 134 nucleotides long. The record is from Ensembl. NCBI's taxonomy places the organism in Eukaryota, Metazoa, Chordata, Amphibia, Anura, Pipidae.